CUACGGAGUACAUUUGCUUAAUUAUUUAAGCAUAAAUACCUACUUAAUGACUAUUAAAUUUCGGUCAUGUACAAUCGCAAUAGUCCGAUUAUAUAUCUAGUUUUGAGAGAACUAUAACUCUCAUAUGUUCUUUGAAAACUGAAUAGUAAAGAUAAAUUAAUAUAACAACGACAUCAAUAAAAAUAAAUUAGUCAAUUUGUUUUGUGAUACCGAGUAAUUAUUAUGAAAAUAAUAGUUUAUUAAAAUGUCUUUGAAUACAUCAACAAUAGGAAAAUACAUAA
Molecule: unclassified non-coding RNA, 281 nt
Filed under: Mycoplasma sp.
Lineage: Bacteria; Bacillati; Mycoplasmatota; Mollicutes; Mycoplasmatales; Mycoplasmataceae
Description: 16S-23S ribosomal RNA intergenic spacer
Source: RNAcentral